GUUUGAUCCUGGCUCAGAGCGAACGUUAGCGGCAGGCUUAACACAUGCAAGUCGAGCGACAAAGGGGCUUCGGCCCUGAGUAGAGCGGCGGACGGGUGCGUAACACGUGGAUAAUCUGCCUCGUGGCGGGGGAUAACAGUCCGAAAGGACUGCUAAUACCGCAUGUCAGGUCGGAAACCCCGGUUUCUGACGAAAAAGAGGGCGCCCGCAAGGGGCUCUCACCACGAGAUGAGUCCGCGGCCCAUCAGCUAGUUGGCGGUGUAAUAGACCACCAAGGCUAAGACGGGUAGCUGGUCUGAGAGGAUGACCAGCCACACUGGGACUGAGACACGGCCCAGACUCCUACGGGAGGCAGCAGUGGGGAAUAUUGGACAAUGGGCGAAAGCCUGAUCCAGCCAUGCCGCGUGAGUGAUGAAGGUCUUCGGAUCGUAAAGCUCUGUGGGAAGGGACGAAAAAGCCUAACCUAAUACGUUAGGUCUUGACGGU
This 486-nucleotide ribosomal RNA is filed under the name uncultured bacterium. RNAcentral describes it as "bacterial SSU rRNA". It matches the Rfam family "Bacterial small subunit ribosomal RNA", at positions 11 to 476 of the family's 1533-position model. The record is from RNAcentral.